This 556-nucleotide ribosomal RNA is filed under the name Bifidobacterium pseudocatenulatum. RNAcentral's name for it is "bacterial SSU rRNA". It matches the Rfam family "Bacterial small subunit ribosomal RNA", at positions 146 to 713 of the family's 1533-position model. Lineage: Bacteria; Bacillati; Actinomycetota; Actinomycetes; Bifidobacteriales; Bifidobacteriaceae. The record is from RNAcentral.
UCUCCUGGAAACGGGUGGUAAUGCCGGAUGCUCCGACUCCUCGCAUGGGGUGUCGGGAAAGAUUUCAUCGGUAUGGGAUGGGGUCGCGUCCUAUCAGGUAGUCGGCGGGGUAACGGCCCACCGAGCCUACGACGGGUAGCCGGCCUGAGAGGGCGACCGGCCACAUUGGGACUGAGAUACGGCCCAGACUCCUACGGGAGGCAGCAGUGGGGAAUAUUGCACAAUGGGCGCAAGCCUGAUGCAGCGACGCCGCGUGCGGGAUGACGGCCUUCGGGUUGUAAACCGCUUUUGAUCGGGAGCAAGCCUUCGGGUGAGUGUACCUUUCGAAUAAGCACCGGCUAACUACGUGCCAGCAGCCGCGGUAAUACGUAGGGUGCAAGCGUUAUCCGGAAUUAUUGGGCGUAAAGGGCUCGUAGGCGGUUCGUCGCGUCCGGUGUGAAAGUCCAUCGCUUAACGGUGGAUCUGCGCCGGGUACGGGCGGGCUGGAGUGCGGUAGGGGAGACUGGAAUUCCCGGUGUAACGGUGGAAUGUGUAGAUAUCGGAAAAGAACACCAAA